ACGGCGGACGCUGUUCUUGCCGUCGCUCCAUUGAGCUUCGUCUCAUCCUUUCGCCUCGAACCCUGAACAAUUGAAACAGAAAUACAAAUCAAACGAUGAUAAAGCUGCGAUUCUGCUCGAUCUCUCCCUCUUGCCCCAACUCCCAUCUGCCGGGGUUUAGGGCACCGUGGUGCGGUGUACGAAUCAGAGACAAAGAUCUGUGGGUGCUGAGGUUAAGGUAUCAACAGCAAGAAAAGGCGGUACUGUGGAAGGCUAACAGGGCCUGACUCGAUUUCCUUGGCAGCAGCGGGGGUCAUCUGCGAUGGACGAGGUAAACAACCAGACCAAUGGCAUAAAGGUUGAACGACAAGCUGUCGGAGAUCGACGAGGAGUUGCAUAACCCACAACCGACCGUGAAUAAGAGGGAGACGAUCCAUCGGCUCGCCGCAUCCAGUUUCUCAUAUCUGCUCUUCACGCCCUAGGAUCAUCAAAGACAGCCUAAGAAGACAGGAGCUAAGAUCGUGUGAAAGAUGAGAAAGCGACUGACCUGUCCUCUGCUUCUGUUGAUGAUGAUGCUGUCAACAAUGUUGUUCUUGCAAAGCCGGAAGAGUGUACCAAGAAACUAUGUCUAAGAUGCCGGAUGAACCCAUUCAGUUUGAAAGGAUUGGUAAAUUCUGGUUUAUAUCACCCGAUGAAGCUUCUUCACUGUCACAAGCACGAGGAACUAAAUGCCUAUAGCAUCUACACCGGUCUUCACAUGUUUCCGAGACCGGGGAUUAGUAGGAAGGUGGUUCAUAUCAUAAUGAAGUUGCCACGAUGGGGGUGCCUUUUGAUAGUCGAUGCUCCAGUCCAGAAGACCAAAGAUUUAGUAAAACUUACCUGCGGAAGGUUAAACAAUUACAAAGUUGCAUAGUUUUCAUGUCCUCACCGGAAAUAAAUAAAGCACGAGACAUGCAAUGGUUUUUCCUUUUAGUUGCUUAUGUAUUCCUGCCAUUUCUCAUGGAGCU
Molecule: non-coding RNA, 986 nt
Organism: Musa acuminata subsp. malaccensis (wild Malaysian banana)
Lineage: Eukaryota; Viridiplantae; Streptophyta; Magnoliopsida; Zingiberales; Musaceae
Source: RefSeq, a predicted model, not a curated record